GAUAGUAAGGUGGCGGACGGGUGAGUAACACGUAAAGACUUGCCCUGCAGUCUGGGACAACUAUUGGAAACGAUAGCUAAUACCGGAUAUUGCCGCAUGGCGAAAGCUAUAUGCGCUGUAGGAGAGCUUUGCGUCCCAUUAGUUAGUUGGUGAGGUAACGGCUCACCAAGACCGCGAUGGGUAGCCGGCCUGAGAGGGUGAACGGCCACAAGGGGACUGAGACACGGCCCUUACUCCUACGGGAGGCAGCAGUGGGGAAUAUUGGACAAUGGACCAAAGUCUGAUCCAGCAAUUCUGUGUGCACGAUGACGGUCUUAGGAUUGUAAAGUGCUUUCAAUCGGGAAAAAGAAAGUGAUGGUACCGAUAGAAGAAGCGACGGCUAAAUACGUGCCAGCAGCCGCGGUAAUACGUAUGU
RNAcentral lists this ribosomal RNA (415 nucleotides) under uncultured bacterium. RNAcentral describes it as "bacterial SSU rRNA". It matches the Rfam family "Bacterial small subunit ribosomal RNA", at positions 86 to 532 of the family's 1533-position model. The record is from RNAcentral.